This 410-nucleotide ribosomal RNA is filed under the name uncultured bacterium. RNAcentral describes it as "bacterial SSU rRNA". It matches the Rfam family "Bacterial small subunit ribosomal RNA", at positions 354 to 777 of the family's 1533-position model. The record is from RNAcentral.
GUGGGGAAUAUUGGGCAAUGGGCGAAAGCCUUACCCAGCAAUGCCGCGUGAGUGAAGAAGGUCUUCGGAUUGUAAAGCUCUUUGAUCAGGGACGAACACAAUGACGGUACCUGAAGAACAAGCCCCGGCUAACUACGUGCCAGCAGCCGCGGUAAUACGUAGGGGGCAAGCGUUGUCCGGAAUGACUGGGCGUAAAGGGUGUGUAGGCGGGCUCGCAAGUUGGAUGUGUAAUACCCAGAGCUUAACUCGGGUGCUGCAUCUGAAACUACGAGUCUUGAGUGUCGGAGAGGUAAGUGGAAUUCCUAGUGUAGCGGUGGAAUGCGUAGAUAUUAGGAGGAACAUCAGUGGCGAAGGCGACUUACUGGACGAUAACUGACGCUGAGGCACGAAAGCGUGGGGAGCAAACAGGA